RNAcentral lists this non-coding RNA (77 nucleotides) under unclassified sequences. RNAcentral describes it as "skipping-rope RNA". It matches the Rfam family "skipping-rope RNA". Rfam says of the family: Firmicutes, Fusobacteria, AlphaProteobacteria, Spirochaetes. The record is from Rfam by way of RNAcentral.
AGUUUCUGAGGACGGAACUGGUAGCCGUAGCCCAUCAAAAGAUGUAGGAGAUGUGGGAGUACCACCCCACCUAAACU